This is a small nuclear RNA of Cricetulus griseus (Chinese hamster), 159 nucleotides long. Its record names the gene U1. It matches the Rfam family "U1 spliceosomal RNA". Rfam says of the family: U1 is a small nuclear RNA (snRNA) component of the spliceosome (involved in pre-mRNA splicing). Its 5' end forms complementary base pairs with the 5' splice junction, thus defining the 5' donor site of an intron. Lineage: Eukaryota; Metazoa; Chordata; Mammalia; Rodentia; Cricetidae. The record is from Ensembl.
AUACUCACCUGGCAGGAGAGAGACCAUGAUCAUGAAGAUGGUUUCACAGUUCACAGCUUACCGACUGCACUCAGGCAUGCUGACACGUUUGAUUCUCCCUGACACAGUAAACUCAAUGGUAUAAUUGUGAUAAUGCGGACUUGGUUCCCACGCUCCCCU